GCCGGUGUUUUAUCCAAGCGUGCACCACCCGUUCCCAUUCCGAACACGGAAGUGAAAGCGUUUGGGCCCGAUGGUACUUGCCCGAACACGGCUGGGAGAGUAGGAUAUGCCGGCA
Molecule: ribosomal RNA, 115 nt
Filed under: bacterium
Lineage: Bacteria
Source: RNAcentral